Tyto alba (common barn owl) is the source of this 2223-nucleotide RNA transcript. It is a transcript of the gene named protein ecdysoneless homolog, with no coding region annotated. The transcript has 7 exons. The record is from RefSeq and is a predicted model, not a curated record. Lineage: Eukaryota; Metazoa; Chordata; Aves; Strigiformes; Tytonidae.
UUUGAAGUUUACAAAUUGGUCAUAAAUUGACUACUUAUUUGAAGGUUAUAGAAUCAGACAACUCGGAAUGCUUAGGUUAAUAUCUUGUAAAUAUAAGAGAAGGGGAAUAUGCUUACAGUACUGCAAUGCCACUUGUAUGGGUAGUUCCCCAAAACCAAGAGAUUCAUUCACAAUCCUUGCACAGUUGUAACUUGGGCAUGGUAAAUACACUGUGUUGUAAGAAUCAGUAAUUUCUUUGUUUUUAGUGUACACCAUAUGAUAUUGUAGCACAAGACUUCAAUUCAUAUUUGACAGUGAAAACACCUUACGCCCCUUUCCUAUAUUCUGUUCCAAGCAUACGUGGCACAGCAGUAUUACUUGUUUGGAUUUUUCUCAGAACUAAAUUUCUGUCUGACAAAUAGUCAUUGUUACGAAGCAUGUCUGUGGAAAGGAAGGGGAGGGAGAAUUCUUUAGAUUCCUACUUGUGGCUUGCAUUAAAUAAGGAGAAAUGGAAGGAUCUGCUAAAUACUUGGAAGUGCUGCACAGGGCAGAAGAUUACUUCCAACAGUCUGUUACCAAGCCAGAAAGCUCUUUUGAAGUGAGCCCAGGUGAUGAAAUCUUGACACUGCUACAGACAACAACUGUUGAUUUGAAGGAAUUUGAGAGAGAAGCAGCUUGUCUUCCUCCAGAGGAUGAUUUCAGGUCACCUGAUGAAUCCCAUGUUACCUUUGAUGUAGAUUCUUUUACAAAAGCGUUAGACAGAAUUUUAGGGGCAGACUCAGAAGAGCUGGAUUCUGAUGGUCUGGAUGAAGAGGAGGAGUUUGAUUUCUCGAAUGAGGAUGAUGAAGACUUAGAUGUGGAAGAUCAAAGGCAAGACCAGAAGGUGCCGCCUAAUGAGCUUAUAGGCAGUCUCAAGUCAUACAUGAGUGAGAUGGACCGUGAACUGGCACAUACCAACGUUGGUAAAAGUUUCACUGUCCAAAAGAGAGGGGCAAGUUCUGUUAAUGCAACUACGUCUCAAAGUGCUGGCCCUGAUGAUACUGAGUUGACACCAGUUGAUGUGGAUCAGAACCUGGUAGCUAACCUGCUCGAAUCCUACAGUGCUCAAUCUGGACUGGCAGGACCCACCUCUAACAUUUUACAGAGCAUGGGAGUAUGUUUACCUGAAAAUGCAGAUCAUAUUGGCUCUAACAAUCGAGCCACGGAAUAAAAGGCUGUCCUAGUGCAGAAAACAUGGCUGAUUGAGAAAUGAAGCACAGAAAAACUAGCAGUAUUUGGAAUAAGAGACAAAAGAUGACAAAUAUCUGGUAAAAUGCUCCAGUACAGCAUCACAAAUAUGCAUGGAAUGGAAGUGGUUGAAGGAUUUUCAAACGACUGGCAACACAGGAUGAUGCAUCAGCUGUCGUUGGAAACAAUAUACCAUUUACCAAUAUGCUGGUGUGUGAGAGCAGGGAAAAGGCAUGCUUUUCACCAUAGCUUAAGCCUGAGAGGGUGGUGUCCUUUUUUUUUUUUUUUUUUUUUUCCUGUGCUGUUCACUUAAAAAAAUACAUUCUGUGUCAUAAAACCCUACCUGCCUAACUUUGCCUUGUAACAGUAGUGACUAUAAAUGCUGAGGAAAUGAGCGCUCCACCUUUUAUCAGAGAAAUCUCUUUGUAUUUGCUACGUAAUACAAGGAAGGGGUAUCUGUGAGGCACAUAAAUGAAGACCUGUUCCAAAGCGCCAGGUAAGGCUGUGGGAAGGAUCAACUGCUUGUUAGAGGCUUAGCAUCUGCUGUGAAGCCUGCAGAGCAGCAACAUGUAUUACAUUUUGUGGUUUGUUUGUAAUUACUGUAUCAAGCCACUUUGAAUUGAAUGUGUGAUUAUCUGUGUAUUUGGCAAGUGCCAGAGAUACCUUGAUUGAUCUGUGGUUUGUGGCCAGCUCAUGUCCAAGAAUUCCUUAGGUCUUCAUUUCCUUGGGUUUACUUGAUAACUCCUUGCUAAAUAAGGCUGGAAAUGAUUUUCUCUUGCCAAAUUCUGUUGUGGCUGUUGAACUAUCUAUAUUAAAAAAACCCAAACCAAACCAAAAACAACCAACCAAAACCCACAAGAACAAAAUGGGGAAAGUAAUUUCCCUUCCUCCUGUGAAAUACCUAUAUUGUUCAUGUGAAUGUGUAAUAAACAUAAGAAAUAUAAGCAAUGUCAUAAUAACUGUAACUUUUGUUGUAGUCCUCGUGGUACUAUACAGCCGGUUGUGGGAAACAGUAAA